GGGGGGGGGGGGGGGGGGGGGGGGGGCGGGGGGGUGGGGGGGGGGGGCCUGCUUUGCGUUGGGGGUGGGGGGUGCUCGGGGGGCGAGCGGGGGAGGAGCGCGUGCGGUGUCUGCCCCCACCUUGGGUAUAAGCCUGGGAAACUGGGUCUAAUUCCCGCUAGGCCUGCAGGGGGGUGCCUUGGGUGGAAAACGAUUUUCUAGUGGUUGGGGAUGAGCGCGCGGCCUCGCAGCUUGUUGGUGGGGUAAUGGCCUACCAAGGCGGCGACGGGUAGCCGGCCUGAGAGGGUGGACGGCCACAUUGGGACUGAGAUACGGCCCAGACUCCUACGGGAGGCAGCAGUGGGGAAUAUUGCACAAUGGGCGGAAGCCUGAUGCAGCGACGCCGCGUGGGGGAUGACGGCCUUCGGGUUGUAAACUCCUUUCGACCGCGAGGAAGCCACCUGGUUGGAAGGGUGGUGACGGUAGUGGUAGAAGAAGCACCGGCUAACUACGUG
RNAcentral lists this ribosomal RNA (494 nucleotides) under uncultured bacterium. RNAcentral's name for it is "partial 16S ribosomal RNA". It matches the Rfam family "Bacterial small subunit ribosomal RNA", at positions 38 to 507 of the family's 1533-position model. The record is from RNAcentral.